This 74-nucleotide transfer RNA is filed under the name Planctomycetota bacterium. RNAcentral describes it as "Planctomycetes bacterium (groundwater metagenome) tRNA-Pro". It matches the Rfam family "tRNA". Rfam says of the family: Transfer RNA (tRNA) molecules are approximately 80 nucleotides in length. Their secondary structure includes four short double-helical elements and three loops (D, anti-codon, and T loops). Lineage: Bacteria; Pseudomonadati; Planctomycetota. The record is from RNAcentral.
CGGGGCGUAGCUCAGUUUGGUAGAGCACCAGCUUUGGGAGCUGGACGUCGCUGGUUCGAAUCCAGUCGCCCCGA